Non-coding RNA from Sclerotinia nivalis, 123 nucleotides. Lineage: Eukaryota; Fungi; Ascomycota; Leotiomycetes; Helotiales; Sclerotiniaceae. The record is from the annotation of a GenBank genome assembly.
UCCGAGUUAGUGUAGUGGUAACAUAACUCGGUUUUAUAAAGCUGAGGCGUCUUGAGAUUCGGGGGGUUUCAGAUGCCCCAGCUUUAUAUUGAGUAGCCCCAGGUUCGACUCCUGGAUUCGGAA